This 257-nucleotide ribosomal RNA is filed under the name uncultured bacterium. RNAcentral describes it as "partial 16S ribosomal RNA". It matches the Rfam family "Bacterial small subunit ribosomal RNA", at positions 524 to 779 of the family's 1533-position model. The record is from RNAcentral.
UACGGAGGGUGCAAGCGUUGUCCGGAAUCACUGGGCGUAAAGGGCGCGUAGGCGGCUCAUGAAGGCUGUGGUGAAAGUCCGGGGCUCAACCUCGGAUCGGCCGUGGCGACUCGUGGGCUGGAGCACUGUAGAGGCGGGUGGAAUUCCGGGUGUAGCGGUGGAAUGCGUAGAGAUCCGGAAGAACACCAGUGGCGAAGGCGGCCCGCUGGGCAGUGGCUGACGCUGAGGCGCGACAGCGUGGGGAGCAAACGAGGAUU